Molecule: long non-coding RNA, 1907 nt
Organism: Motacilla alba alba
Lineage: Eukaryota; Metazoa; Chordata; Aves; Passeriformes; Motacillidae
Exons: 3
Source: RefSeq, a predicted model, not a curated record
UAGAAAAUAUUCAACAAUUGCAAGAAGUUCAUGGAACUCCAAGUUUUUAAAACACACACCAGCAGUCAGAAAGCACACAUGUUGCAUUUUUCCGUUUAACGAGAUUUUCUCCUGCACACUUUGACAUAAGCAACAGGUCUGCUGUAUCAGAGGGGACAGAGCUCUCCACCUAGAAACAGCUAAAGAGAAUUUUCUAGAUCCCUAACCCCACAUAGUCUUUGGCUAUUCUAGCACAGAACAGAAAACGGCCUGAAACAUUUGUACAUAUGCCAUAUGCACCCUAGUACUAGUAAGUAAGACUGAAAUUCUAACUAUAUUGUUCGUAAAACUUCUACUUAAGCUACAUCUUUAAACCACAAGGCAUUCCAGCAGAACAGCAAACCUCCAUUGGGCACCUACAGUUACUAACUAGCUACUAAAUGGCUGACACCGAUAAUCUUUACAGACGGGGGCUCUAAUGGCCAAAACCGCCAGACAAAAGCAACGAUACCCCGACAAUUUAAAUAAAAAUAGUCAUAUACAUAGCAACAUAAUAGGAGAUUGUCACAUGCAUACCCAGGAAGCUCCCAAACGUAACCACUCCCUGCUCCCUACAGGGACCACGUGCCAGUUUCAGAUGUCUGAACUACACAGCCAAACUGGUUUUCAGGUAAGUACCUCCGAAGUUCAAAGCAAAAUUAGGCCGCCUCACUGCUUGGGAGACUUGUUUUGCCAUCCCACAGGAUGGUACUGCGAUUGAAAAAUCAAACGGUACUCACGCACCAGGCCAAGAGUCUUAGUGCAGCAGCUAUUCGCUUGACAUCCUAGAUCUGCUGCUCCCUCUUUAAACAGCAUGUUUUCAAUAGUAGCAGAAUAUUCAGUUUUUCAAUAGUAACACAUUUUUGUCACACAGUAUUGGAAGGUUCUCAAAAAGAUUUUAGAAGGGUUUCAAAGAUAGCAAGUCACACGUGUCCAGUUUAGCAUCAUCAUUUCCCCCAGUUUGAUAUGGAGAGGCAUUAAUCCAGAACUUAGUGCUUCUUUUCUAGAAUGAAUGAAACUAAGUUCCAGCCAAGAAAAGGUAUGAAACAAAGCUUUUCUAAGAUAACAUUUGCUGUUAUUUCAUCUCAAGCACUGACUUCCUCUAUAGAAGAACUUCACGAAAAGCACCCAUUGAAAGAAAAUAACCAAAAGCACCCAAAAAAAGUAGCACUUUGGCCGAAGAAGAGAGGUAUUCACGCACCACGCAGGGGGAAGGACCCGCCUUGCCGUUCUGCACGCACCUCCGACACCGGCCCCACAGGGCGGCGGCGCGGGGCGGGAGCGCGGCGCAGCCCCCGGGGCUCCAGCGGCCCGCGGCCCCCUCUCGCCGCGCACCUCGGGCUCCGCUCCAGGCCACGCCGCGCCAACUCUGCCAGACGAGUUCUUCUGCCGGCCGCCUCGCCGGACUGAGGAGAAAAAGCGAUCGGCGAGGCGAGGCGGGAAGCCGAUGGAGAGCGGCAAGGCAGCCCGAGGGACGAGCGCGACACGACCGGAGCGGCAGCUGCUCCGGGGCACCGGGACGCCCUGAGAGGAACGGCACCCGCCCGCAACGCCCCCGAAGAGCGCCCGCCGGCCCCUCGGGCGGCACGACGCGAGCCGGUGACUUACCCUUGAUACAAAGCAGUCAACUGUGUUUGGACAUGGGUCUCUCUGACAUUUAUAGAGGGGAUCUAAGUGAAAACCAUAAAGAAGAUACUGCCCAAUCAUAAAGCCAACUUCCACUGCAGAUCUUGUGAAAAUAUGGAUCACGCUCUUAGUCUGUAUAAGGCAUGACCCAUAUACACCAAGGAAGGGGAAGACACAAAUAUAACUUGCAAGACCCAGUAUCUUAUGAGAGAGAUGGGAAAGGCCUCAUCAUAGCACACAUUUCUGCAACCAGGCUGCUCAGU